This 62-nucleotide transfer RNA is filed under the name Methanothrix harundinacea 6Ac. Its description in RNAcentral is "Methanosaeta harundinacea 6Ac tRNA-OTHER". Lineage: Archaea; Methanobacteriati; Methanobacteriota; Methanomicrobia; Methanotrichales; Methanotrichaceae. The record is from RNAcentral.
GCGAUUUGAUCGCCGGUCGCAGGACCCCCUAUCUGUGGGAUACCAGGCUACCCUAUGGCCCC